CCUACGGGUGGCAGCAGUCGAGAAUCAUUCACAAUGGGGGAAACCCUGAUGGUGCGACGCCGCGUGGGGGAAUGAAGGUCUUCGGAUUGUAAACCCCUGUCAUGUGGGAGCAAAUUAAAAAGAUAGUACCACAAGAGGAAGAGACGGCUAACUUUGUGCCAGCAGCCGCGGUAAUACAGAGGUCGCAAGCGUUGUCCGGAAGCACUGGGCGUAAGGGGUGCGUAGGCUGUUUCGUAAGUCGUGUGUGAAAGGCUCGGGCUCAACCGGCGGACGGCACAUGAUACUGCGAGACUAGAGUAAUGAAGGGGGAACCGGAAUUCUCGGUGUAGCAGUGAAAUGCGUAGAUAUCGAGAGGAACACUCGUGGCGAAGGCGGGUUCCUGGACAUUAACUGACGCUGAGGCACGAAGGCAAGGGGAGCGAAAGGGAUUAGAUACCCCUGUAGUC
Molecule: ribosomal RNA, 446 nt
Filed under: uncultured bacterium
Lineage: Bacteria
Description: partial 16S ribosomal RNA
Rfam family: Bacterial small subunit ribosomal RNA
Source: RNAcentral